Molecule: ribosomal RNA, 584 nt
Filed under: Stemphylium sp. 40a2-2-1
Lineage: Eukaryota; Fungi; Ascomycota; Dothideomycetes; Pleosporales; Pleosporaceae
Description: eukaryotic LSU rRNA
Rfam family: 5.8S ribosomal RNA (bases 208-361)
Source: RNAcentral
UUCCGUAGGGUGAACCUGCGGAGGGAUCAUUACACAAUAUGAAAGCGGGUUGGGACCUCACCUCGGUGAGGGCUCCAGCUUGUCUGAAUUAUUCACCCAUGUCUUUUGCGCACUUCUUGUUUCCUGGGCGGGUUCGCCCGCCACCAGGACCAAACCAUAAACCUUUUUGUAAUUGCAAUCAGCGUCAGUAAACAAUGUAAUUAUUACAACUUUCAACAACGGAUCUCUUGGUUCUGGCAUCGAUGAAGAACGCAGCGAAAUGCGAUACGUAGUGUGAAUUGCAGAAUUCAGUGAAUCAUCGAAUCUUUGAACGCACAUUGCGCCCUUUGGUAUUCCAAAGGGCAUGCCUGUUCGAGCGUCAUUUGUACCCUCAAGCUUUGCUUGGUGUUGGGCGUCUUUGUCUCUCACGAGACUCGCCUUAAAAUGAUUGGCAGCCGACCUACUGGUUUCGGAGCGCAGCACAAUUCUUGCACUUUGAAUCAGCCUUGGUUGAGCAUCCAUCAAGACCACAUUUUUUUCAACUUUUGACCUCGGAUCAGGUAGGGAUACCCGCUGAACUUAAGCAUAUCAAUAAGUGGGAGGAA